GCAGUGGUGGCCCAGUGGUAGAAUUCUCGCCUUCCAUGCGAGAGACCCAGGUUCGACUCCCUGCCACUGCA
RNAcentral lists this transfer RNA (71 nucleotides) under Loxodonta africana (African savanna elephant). It matches the Rfam family "tRNA". Rfam says of the family: Transfer RNA (tRNA) molecules are approximately 80 nucleotides in length. Their secondary structure includes four short double-helical elements and three loops (D, anti-codon, and T loops). Further hydrogen bonds mediate the characteristic L-shaped molecular structure. tRNAs have two regions of fundamental functional importance: the anti-codon, which is responsible for specific mRNA codon recognition, and the 3' end, to which the tRNAs corresponding amino acid is attached (by aminoacyl-tRNA synthetases). tRNAs cope with the degeneracy of the genetic code in two manners: having more than one tRNA (with a specific anti-codon) for a particular amino acid; and 'wobble' base-pairing, i.e. permitting non-standard base-pairing at the 3rd anti-codon position. Lineage: Eukaryota; Metazoa; Chordata; Mammalia; Proboscidea; Elephantidae. The record is from Rfam by way of RNAcentral.